AGGCAUGAAGCAAAUCAUUGCAUUUAAUUUCGGCUUAAAAGUUAGGUUUAUUAAAACCCCUGCCUU
Molecule: transfer RNA, 66 nt
Filed under: Pachybrachis sp. ReAss_5
Lineage: Eukaryota; Metazoa; Arthropoda; Insecta; Coleoptera; Chrysomelidae
Description: tRNA-Arg
Source: RNAcentral